Molecule: ribosomal RNA, 372 nt
Filed under: uncultured organism
Description: bacterial SSU rRNA
Rfam family: Bacterial small subunit ribosomal RNA
Source: RNAcentral
CGUAGGGGGCGAGCGUUGUCCGGAAUUAUUGGGCGUAAAGAGCGUGUAGGCGGUUCGGUAAGUCAGCCGUGAAAACCUGAGGCUCAACCUCGGGCGUGCGGUGGAUACUGCCGGGCUAGAGGACGGUAGAGGCGAGUGGAAUUCCCGGUGUAGCGGUGAAAUGCGCAGAUAUCGGGAGGAACACCAGUAGCGAAGGCGGCUCGCUGGGCCGUUCCUGACGCUGAGACGCGAAAGCUAGGGGAGCGAACAGGAUUAGAUACCCUGGUAGUCCUAGCCGUAAACGAUGGACACUAGGUGUGGGGGGAGUCGAAUCCCUCUGUGCCGCAGUUAACGCGUUAAGUGUCCCGCCUGGGGAGUACGGCCGCAAGGCUA